UCCAGACUCCUACGGGAGGCAGCAGUGAGGAAUAUUGGUCAAUGGGCGGAAGCCUGAACCAGCCAUGCCGCGUGAAGGCGAGUGCCCUACGGGCGUUAAACUUCUUUUGUGCGGGAGCAAUAAGGGCCACGUGUGACCCGAUGAGAGUACCGCACGAAUAAGCAUCGGCUAACUCCGUGCCAGCAGCCGCGGUAAUACGGGGGAUGCGAGCGUUAUCCGGAUUUAUUGGGUUUAAAGGGUGCGUAGGCGGCGCUUCAGGUCAGCGGUGAAAUACCGGGGCUCAACCCCGGGGCUGCCGUUGAAACCGGAGCGCUAGAAUUCCGAUGCCGUCGGAGGAAUGUGUGGUGUAGCGGUGAAAUGCAUAGAUAUCACGCAGAACCCCGAUUGCGAAGGCAGCAUGCCGGCUUCCGACUGACGCUGAAGCACGAAAGCGUGGGGAUCGAACAGGAUUAGAUACCCGCGUAG
RNAcentral lists this ribosomal RNA (465 nucleotides) under uncultured bacterium. RNAcentral describes it as "partial 16S ribosomal RNA". It matches the Rfam family "Bacterial small subunit ribosomal RNA", at positions 330 to 793 of the family's 1533-position model. The record is from RNAcentral.